Molecule: ribosomal RNA, 608 nt
Filed under: uncultured bacterium
Lineage: Bacteria
Description: bacterial SSU rRNA
Rfam family: Bacterial small subunit ribosomal RNA
Source: RNAcentral
AGAGUUUGAUCAUGGCUCAGGACGAACGCUGGCGGCGUGCUUUAUACAUGCAAGUCGAACGAUGAAGUUCCUUCGGGAAUGGAUUAGUGGCGAACGGGUGAGGAACACGUGAGAAACCUGCCUUUCAUUCUGGGAUAACACCGGGAAACCGGUGCUAAUACCGGAUACUCCAUCUUGGCGGCAUCGCCGAGCUGGGAAAAAAUUUUGAUGAAAGAUGGUCUCGCGGCCUAUCAGCUAGUUGAUGAGGUAAAGGCUCACCAAGGCGACGACGGGUAGCCGGCCUGAGAGGGCGACCGGCCACACUGGGACUGAGACACGGCCCAGACUCCUACGGGAGGCAGCAGUAGGGAAUAUUGGGCAAUGGGCGAAAGCCUGACCCAGCGACGCCGCGUGAGGGAUGAGGGUCUUCGGAUUGUAAACCUCUUUCAGUAGGGAAGAAGCGAAAGUGACGGUACCUAAAGAAGAAGCACCGGCUAACUAUGUGCCAGCAGCCGCGGUAAUACAUAGGGUGCAAGCGUUGUCCGGAAUUAUUGGGCGUAAAGAGCUCGUAAGUCGUUUGUCGCGUCGAUUGUGAAAAUCUGAGGCUCAACCUCAGACCUGCAGUCGAU